UUGCAGUUAAAAAGCUCGUAGUCGGAUUUCAGUAUUAGGCCCUUCUUCCAAUACGGUUGCUAGCGGUCUUUACUUCCUUAACAGAAUCUUUCAUCUCAUUAAUUUGGGGUGUUUGGGGCCUGUUUCUUUUACUUUGAGAAAAUUAGAGUGUUCAAAGCGGGUUUUCGCCUGGAUAUUACUCUUGGAAUAAUAAUAUAGGACUUUGGUUCUUUUUUGUUGGUGACUUAGAACCGAAGUAAUGAUUGAUAGGGACAGUUGGGGUCAUUCGUACUAUGAAGCGAGAGGUGAAAUUCAUGGACCUUUGUAUGACGAACUACUGCGAAAGCAUUUGACUAGGAUGUUCCCGUUGAUCAAGAACGAAAGUUGGGGGAUCGAAGACGAUCAGAUACCGUCGUAGUCUCAC
This 403-nucleotide ribosomal RNA is filed under the name uncultured marine eukaryote. RNAcentral describes it as "bacterial SSU rRNA". It matches the Rfam family "Eukaryotic small subunit ribosomal RNA", at positions 613 to 1029 of the family's 1831-position model. The record is from RNAcentral.